Molecule: long non-coding RNA, 604 nt
Organism: Lates calcarifer (barramundi perch)
Lineage: Eukaryota; Metazoa; Chordata; Actinopteri; Centropomidae
Exons: 3
Source: RefSeq, a predicted model, not a curated record
GCGCACGGCAUUGUGGGAAAACGAACCGAGGCUCGAAGAGGGACGCUGAGCAGUGUGUACGGCUGCGAUAUUAAAUUGUCUCCUCCCUGUGUCUGUCGGGUCUAAGUGUGUGGAGGUGUGGCUCAACUCCUGUCUCACCUGGUGCCUCUCAUCAUCCUGCACACUAAUCCAAGUACUACAAGGACCCCUGCUCUUCAUCCAUCUCACCUAUGCCCAUGCUGCUGCCGGCCUCUGGUGAGGAGCUGCCUCUGCCUGCCUGUCAGACAGUCUCUGGAUUCUCCUCACCUGGACUUAGCACUCUGCAUCCACAGUCCCUGUCCUAUUCUCUAGGUUUUCUGUUAAUUCAGCAUAGAUCACUUACUUUUCAACCAUCUCUCAUGUCAGAGUCUGAGUCUGCUUUGGGGUCCAGUAUUUAUUUUGUGCUAACAUGGGGUCCACAUAAAUAUAUUACAAUAGUUUAGUGACAAAAAGUACACAUUACAUUUAACAUCUGUACUCACAUGUUAUGCCUCAGACAAAAAACAUGACUCAAACCCUGUCUAAUACAUAAAAAAGCUCUACAUAAUAGUAUCACCUCUUGGAGAACUGAAAAUAAAUAAGCAAG